RNAcentral lists this ribosomal RNA (347 nucleotides) under uncultured Rhodoferax sp. RNAcentral describes it as "bacterial SSU rRNA". It matches the Rfam family "Bacterial small subunit ribosomal RNA", at positions 1033 to 1382 of the family's 1533-position model. The record is from RNAcentral. Lineage: Bacteria; Pseudomonadati; Pseudomonadota; Betaproteobacteria; Burkholderiales; Comamonadaceae.
CACAGGUGCUGCAUGGCUGUCGUCAGCUCGUGUCGUGAGAUGUUGGGUUAAGUCCCGCAACGAGCGCAACCCUUGUCAUUAGUUGCUACAUUCAGUUGGGCACUCUAAUGAGACUGCCGGUGACAAGCCGGAGGAAGGUGGGGAUGACGUCAAGUCCUCAUGGCCCUUAUAGGUGGGGCUACACACGUCAUACAAUGGCUGGUACAAAGGGUUGCCAACCCGCGAGGGGGAGCUAAUCCCACAAAGCCAGUCGUAGUCCGGAUCGUAGUCUGCAACUCGACUACGUGAAGUCGGAAUCGCUAGUAAUCGUGGAUCAGAAUGUCACGGUGAAUACGUUCCCGGGUCUU